Molecule: ribosomal RNA, 253 nt
Filed under: uncultured bacterium
Lineage: Bacteria
Description: partial 16S ribosomal RNA
Rfam family: Bacterial small subunit ribosomal RNA
Source: RNAcentral
UACGAAGGGGGCUAGCGUUGUUCGGAAUUACUGGGCGUAAAGCGUGCGCAGGCGGCCAUCCAAGUCAGUGGUGAAAGCCCGGAGCUCAACUCCGGAAUUGCCAUUGAAACUGUUUGGCUCGAGUACGAGAGAGGUGAGUGGAAUUCCCAGUGUAGAGGUGAAAUUCGUAGAUAUUAGGAAGAACACCGGUGGCGAAGGCGGCCAUCUGGCUCGGUACUGACGCUCAGGUUCGAAAGCGUGGGGAGCAAACAGG